RNAcentral lists this small RNA (63 nucleotides) under unclassified sequences. RNAcentral describes it as "Streptococcus sRNA SpF59 (ldcC RNA)". It matches the Rfam family "Streptococcus sRNA SpF59 (ldcC RNA)". The record is from Rfam by way of RNAcentral.
GGACCACUUUCCGCUUUUACGGUCGGGAAGGCAGCCCAUACGGACAGGCGGGUCGGACGCCGA